Molecule: unclassified non-coding RNA, 451 nt
Filed under: Hevea brasiliensis (rubber tree)
Lineage: Eukaryota; Viridiplantae; Streptophyta; Magnoliopsida; Malpighiales; Euphorbiaceae
Source: RNAcentral
UUUUAGGUUUUCCUCUUUUAGGGACGCGGGGUUUGAAUUCAUGGUUAAUAAAGGUGAAUCAUCAUGCUCUUCUGUUGGUGCAUCUGUAGUAUUGUUCGGUUGAUUCAUUGCAUCCAAUAUAGACGAUGAACUGGUUUCUGAGAGAGCUGUUGGAGGCUCUAACGAUUUCAGAUCCUCUACCAGUUUAGGUGAUGCUUCCUGCUGAACUGUUGGCACAGCUGAUUGAACACUUGCUGUUUUAGAAAUGUUACCUGCUCCAUCAGAUUUAAUGGAAGGCUCCUGAAUUUCAGAGUUUGCUGUUUCAUUCAUAUGUUGCCUAGUUGGAUUUGCACUAUGUGAGUGAUCCUCCUUCGGAACAGAAACUUCAGGUUUAGGAGCACAUUCUUGGGGACAACUUCCUUUCACAUCUUUUGCAUCUUCCAUUUCCAAUUAAGAGCAGAAAUGAUGUGUG